This 636-nucleotide ribosomal RNA is filed under the name Triticum aestivum (bread wheat). RNAcentral describes it as "partial small subunit ribosomal RNA". Lineage: Eukaryota; Viridiplantae; Streptophyta; Magnoliopsida; Poales; Poaceae. The record is from RNAcentral.
AUGGCAGCUCCGAGAGCGCUCGUCCUCGCCGUCCUGCUGGCGAUCGCCGUCGCCAACGCCGAGGCAGCGUCCGUGGUCGUCGGCCUGGUCAAGUGCGCCGACUGCACAAGGAAGAACAUGAAGGCCGAGGAAGCCUUCAAAGGUCUCCAGGUAGCAGUCAAGUGCAAGAACGUCCAUGGCGACUACGAGAGCAAGGCACUGGGUGCCCUCGACGGCACCGGGGCCUUCCGCAUGCCCCUCGCCGCUGACCUCCACGGCGCCGACUGCGUCGCACAGCUCCACAGUGCAGCCUCCAACGCGCCGUGUCCUGGCCAGGAGCCAUCCAAGAUCGUGCCGGUUUCCGAGGGCACCACCUUCGGUAUCGUCGCCGGCGACAGCAUUGCCACGCCGUCUGCAGCGUCGCCGGAGUGCGCAUCCAUGACCCUGUGCGGGCCAAUCAAGAAGCACAUCAUCGAGCACUUCCACCACAAGAAGCCCGUGCCACCGAAGCCGGAGCCCAAGCCCCAGCCCCACCCGGACUACGGCCCCGUGCCCAAGCCCGAGCCAAAGCCGCAGCCCCACCCGGACUACCACCCCAUCCCUCCCACGCCCACCUACGGCGGCGGAGGUGGCGGCGGAUACCACGGACACCACUGA